RNAcentral lists this ribosomal RNA (301 nucleotides) under uncultured bacterium. RNAcentral describes it as "partial 16S ribosomal RNA". It matches the Rfam family "Bacterial small subunit ribosomal RNA", at positions 509 to 807 of the family's 1533-position model. The record is from RNAcentral.
CAGUCGCCACGGUAAUACGUAGGGUCCGAGCGUUGUCCGGAAUUAUUGGGCGUAAAGAGCUCGUAGGCGGUUCGUCGCGUCUGCCGUGAAAUCCUCAGGUUCAACCUGAGGCGUGCGGUGGGUACGGGCGAGCUAGAGUGCGGUAGGGGAGAAUGGAACUCCUGGUGUAGCGGUGGAAUGCGCAGAUAUCAGGAAGAACACCGAUGGCGAAGGCAGUUCUCUGGGCCGUAACUGACGCUGAGGAGCGAAAGCGUGGGGAGCGAACAGGAUUAGAUACCCCUGUAGUCCCUGUCUCUUAUAC